GUGAUCAGUUUGGUAGUACAUAGAGUAAAACUGGAAGAAUACAGAGAUUAGUAUGGCCCCUGCCAAAGAAUGACAUACAAAUUUGUGAAGUAUUACAUAUUUUU
Small nuclear RNA from Artibeus jamaicensis (Jamaican fruit-eating bat), 104 nucleotides. Lineage: Eukaryota; Metazoa; Chordata; Mammalia; Chiroptera; Phyllostomidae. The record is from RefSeq and is a predicted model, not a curated record.